AUCCACUAAGUACACCAAGUAAAGCCUUCCAGAGAGAGUUUACAAAUGGAGCCAAAAAUCAAAUCUCAAAAGUACUAGUCAUCGAUUCAAAGAUCUCCUAAAACUUAACCAAGAGAUACUCAACCCUAUAGCACAAAUCAACCAAAUAGAAACUAAUUAGAGCAGCGAAAUACUGACUCAAGUUUCUGUUACAAUAUAGGAAAAAGAUUUACAAAUCUAUUAAGGAUCAAUAACACAAUCUAUGGAAGAAAAUGAAGAGAUAAAUGAGUAGAGAGAACAAAGAGCCUUUUUCAGAAAUCAGAACUGAAUCUCAAUGCCAAAGGCUAACAAACCAAAUGUGUAAAAGAGGUAACAAGUGAUCACAGCCAUUAAUUAAAAUCAAUGGCUCACUAUAUAGGAGAGAGAGCACAAUAUGGGUUUCGUCUAAUCAUCCACUGAGAAUCAGCCACAUGGAAUAUCACUUAAAAGAGUUGCAUCUUCGAAAACACAAUUUAUCCUUCAAUCUUCACCUUCGUUUCAAAAUGCAAACACUCUCUACAAUAUGCUUAAUGGUGCACUAAAAUGGGAGGUCCAUUAUCGCCGCCCUGUACAUGCAAAGAAAUUACCCUUUAUCGACAUGUAGCAAUGAUAUGCAAAUUCUAAACUUAACAACAGAGAGUACUUUGGUGCCCAUAUCCAGCUCCAGUACUGGAGAAUGUUACUAUUGACUCCAAUUGAGAUUUCCACAUUAUGCAAUUAUCACCAGGUGUAAAAUAAUAUGCCAUAGUAGAUUUUCUUUAAGUUUUAUCAACGGCAAACUCAGUAUCCAUAUAACCUUUUAAGAUCAAUAUACAUGCCUUCUGUAAUGCCAAGGAGAUUUGCUUCCUAUGAAGCAACAGCAUCACCAUCAGGUAGUACAAUCCAUUUUUCCAAGAUUCUUUCAUCACCACGGAUCCUUUCAUGACUUUAGUGUAUUAUUCUCAAAUAUAAAGACAUGUCCUUCAGCUCCAAUGAUUCCCAAGGAUAUGAUUUUUUAUUUUUAUUUUUAUUUAAAUUUUACUUUUUACUUUUUUAAGAUUAUGGACAUAUCCUACAUUACUUACUUGCCUGACAAUACCAACUAGAUGGUCAUGUCCCUAACAUUAAUUACAAUAUGUGAAUUGUUACCACCCAUAUAAACCUGUCUAGGUUCAAUUAUCCUACAGUUGUAAAACCAUGACCCGGACACAUGUGGAAUGUAUAGCCCAAAUCCAAAAUCUAAUCUUGGCUAAUGUCUUCAGAAGACACAAUCAUGACGUGCAAGUUGUCCAAUUCAAUAGCAGCAACUGCAAUGUUCAAUUCCACAUUGUUUUGAUCAUUUUGCUUCUUUUUCUACUCAAAGCAUUGCCCUCUUGAAGUACCCUAACUUCCCACAUCUGUUGAACUUCUUGUUAUUUUAUCCUUUGAUUUCGAUCUCCAUUUUGUUUUAAUUCUGGAAAUUAUUUUCAGUUUUAUAACUCCUACCUCUCACAAACAUACUUUCCUCUCUAGUGUUGGACUUCGACUCUUUGCUAACUUCAAGAUCACCAGACCUUAAGGCAACAAUUAUGAUAGCCUAUGUUAAGGUGCCUUUAGAGUACUUUAUUGCUUUCCUGACAUCCUUAUAGGACUCAAGUAAUGAAAUUGAUAGAAUAAUAGUCGAGUCCUCAUCAUCAAACUUCUUGUCAUUAUGUGGAAGAUUCUUCACUACAAUGCUAAAGUCACUUAGAUUAAUUUCUAAGUCCUUUACAGGAUCUAUCCUAAACCUAAACAAAUUUUCCAACAAGUAAAUUAAUUUUAGCAUUUUCCAACAAGUAAAUUAAUUUGGCAGACUUUUAGUUAGGAACAAUUUAUCAAGUGUUGUCCACAAAGCUUUAGCGGUUUUAGCAUCAUUUACUUGUCUAACAAUAUAAUCAGAUAAAUGCAAUAUUAUAGAAUUGUAGGCAAUGUCAUUCAUUUCUUCAAUUUCAAUAGGUGUAGCUUUCAAAGCAUCAGAAAAUGAUUCACGAACAUCAAUGGCUUUUGCAACCCUUUGUUGGACUAAAAUAGCCCUCAUUUACUGCUUCCAAAUCGAGUAUCCCCCUUUCCAUCGAAUUGUGACAAUUCAUACCCAUAACGGAUUCUAUAAAAGGGCAGUAAGAACUAAAGGCCAUUCCAUAAUCUGUUUCAAAUAAGAAGUAAAAGUUCUGAAAAACAAAUUAAGUUUUACAGAUUUCGGUCAAGAAACACUUUAUGAAAUUAAUCAGUAAAGAAUCCUGUAUUUUAUCAAACAAUUAGAUAAAGGUUUGAUCCAUACAAUAUGAAUGGCAAAUUGCAGCGAGUUGCAGAUAUGACAAUUGAUCAGUAGUGUCCAAUUAUUUUAUCAAUUAAAAACAAUGCAGCCAUGACAAUUACAUAUAUCAAUUAAGGCAUGCAUCAAUGGCUAUAUUCAUACAUAAACUGUAAUUUAAAUUCAGAAGUUAGAACGGUCUCACCAAGAACUAUUGAACAGCAGUUAUAAUUUCAAAAACCACAAUUGAAAACAAGUUAUGAAGUGCCAAUAGCCAAGAACCAUAUUAAUCAAUUCCAAUCUCGUACUCAGGUGCUGAAUGUCAAUUGCCUAAGAAAAAUAGCCACAGAACAUAAAAUUAGUACAAUCACAGCAAUUACGGAACACAUUUGUACUAAUGUUUUUCAAGAAAACGGUUGAAUCAAGAAUGGUUAUGUUCUGCAGAUCCUUUUCAAGAUCUGUAGAGAUCGAAAAACAAUUAUUAAAAAAAAAAAUUGAUUCAAAGGUUUUGUAAAAACAAAAAUUUUCCCAAAAGCCCAACAAGGCUCCGAUACCAGUUGAAUGGAUUUUCUUUUUCCCAAUUGAUAAAAACAGAUGUAGAAACGAUAAUAUGCAGAAACAUAAACAACGCAAGAACGCCAAAAAUGUUGACCAAAUUCGGCUAUUGCUUAAUUUGGGGGCUCAACUACCAGCCCAAUUGACUAAGUGCACCAAGGAAAGUCUUCUAGAGAGAGAGUUUACAAAUGGAACCAAAAAUCAGCACAAGUUCUAAUCAUCGAUCCAUAGAUCUCCUAAAGCUUAACCAAGAAAUACUCGACCCCUAUCACACAAAUCAAACGAACAGGAAAUAAUUAGAAAAGCCAAAUACGGACUCAAGCUUCUAUUACAAUAUGCGAAAAGGAUUUACAGAUCUAUUAGGUAUUAACAACACAAUCUAUGGUAGAAAAUGAAGAGAUCGCUCGAGAAAGAACAGAGAAAACAGAAAGCCUUCUUCAGAAAUCAGAACUGGAUAUCAAACUUUACAUUUCAACCCUCAUUUCAACAUUAUUUUACGGAGUUGAUCCUUUCCAUUGUCCAUUCCUUCUAUCAGAUAUGGAUAAUUCAUGUCUAACCUGGGGUAUGGUAUUGUGAAAUUCCAGUUUGACUAGUUAAUAUUCGCACUAACCCAUUGAAUGGUAAAAGGACAAAAUUACCCUUAAUUACAUUAUACAAUUAUAAAA
RNAcentral lists this long non-coding RNA (3486 nucleotides) under Olea europaea subsp. europaea. The record is from RNAcentral. Lineage: Eukaryota; Viridiplantae; Streptophyta; Magnoliopsida; Lamiales; Oleaceae.